GAUAGGUCGCUGUCGCUACUGUGAUUGGACACUGACAGAGAGUCAACUAGCCUUGUUCGCGCGGUUCUUCGCGCGCGGAACCGAGGGCGGUCCGAGCCACGAGGGGGGAGGCUCGGACCGCCCGUU
Non-coding RNA from Streptomyces viridochromogenes, 126 nucleotides. Lineage: Bacteria; Bacillati; Actinomycetota; Actinomycetes; Kitasatosporales; Streptomycetaceae. The record is from Rfam.